Molecule: long non-coding RNA, 942 nt
Filed under: Homo sapiens (human)
Lineage: Eukaryota; Metazoa; Chordata; Mammalia; Primates; Hominidae
Description: non-protein coding lnc-SLC29A4-5:3
Source: RNAcentral
UUUUUUUUUUUUUUUUUUUUUUUUGGCACAGGUGGACCAACGGGGGGUGUGACUGUGGGCACCGUGCGCGGAGGCGGAGGCUCAUCUGGUUCCCACCCUCCGUGCCGCUGGAUGCCCCAGGAUUUUCUCCAACCGGGGUCCCGGCUUGGAGCCCUCCUUGGUGCGAGCUUUGGCUCAGCAAUGGGGAAAGCGGGAAUGGGUCUCGCCCUUGUGGCUGCCUGGUGGAAGCGGCGGUUUUGACACACGAAUAGUCGUGGGGAGCAGAUCCAGAGAGGGCGCAUUUGCAAUAAUAACGCUUAGUUUAUCUCUGCCAGAGGGGCGGGAACAGGCCUUCGCGCUGGUGUCUUACAUCAGCCAAGCAAACCAUGGGCGCGAUUGGAGCCAACCACCUCCAGCGGGGUUUUGCUCCAGACUUAAGGUGCACGGAAACCGGAGCAUUCAGCCCUUCAUGGAUGCCUCCCGAAAACCUCACCAUGCCAGUGACACGACUGCAAACGGCGGGUGGCACAUGCCGGGGGCUUGGGAUGGGAGGGUUUGGAAACCUCGCUCCAAGGACGCCCUCAGCCAAGGAGCUUCGGCUCCUUCCUAGAAUUUCUAGAAGCACUUUUGGAGGGACCGAGGGCUUCCGGCCGGGCCCAGAGGAAUUUGAGCGCUUGCCCGGGCAGGCAGAAGCGCAGCCUGGGAGUGGAGAGGCUGCUGGGCCACAUUCCGGCCCAGCUUCCCCCGCUAGGCCCCAGCCCUGCCGCGGCGCCCCAGGAAGCACCUCCGAAAACAAAGCGCUGUGGUUUCAGCCCAAGGUUAAAGUCCACCGCGAGCGUGUUUUUUCCCCCCUCCAGAAUCUAAGAGCGAUAGCGUUUCUCCAAAUAAACCGCCAAUAAAUCAGCUCCCGGGGGCGCCUGCUGAAGAGCUCUGGUGACCUUGGGGGAUGGUUUUUCUGCCUGA